This 1282-nucleotide long non-coding RNA is filed under the name Brachypodium distachyon (stiff brome). RNAcentral describes it as "long non-coding RNA (BDIS_LNC000097)". Lineage: Eukaryota; Viridiplantae; Streptophyta; Magnoliopsida; Poales; Poaceae. The record is from RNAcentral.
UCCCAAUUAACAAGUGAACAUAUUACAUACUCCCGUUGUGUUCAUCUCGUACUGCACGUACUAUACAGAACAUAUAUAUAGGGGUAUGUACAAGGAAAACAUCUUCGUCCUGGUCUCCCAGAAGAGCGAGAACACGUACGAAUUCAACUUGGUGCGGGACGAUGGACUGCAUGCAUGGCGGCAGAGCAGCCCACGUCGGCGGCGAGUGUCGGCUUUAAUAAUUUAUUACGACCAGUAGUACUACUGCCGUUUAUGGGCCUGGCUGCAUGGCCUACCACGGCGGCAAGUUGUUGCACCGGGGGUGGUGUGAUUCCCCGGCCGGCCCCUUGUGGGCAUCCUCCCUUUCUCUCUCUCUGUAUGCACACACAUCGCUUUCUUAUCUUUAGUAUUCUCCCCCGUUUUCCCCUGUGCCGCAGGCGAUCGAGAUAGGAGAGUGACAGGAAGAUAUAUAGGGUCAAUUAGGGUUGAAGCAGAGGCCGGGGAGUUAAAAGGAAGGGGAUGAAGGAAAUGCAUGCAAGGUAUAGUACUACCGUGGCAAGCAGCUGGGGAAGAGGAUGAGAAUGAGAUGCCUGGCCGGACAUAUAUGGUGAAUGGGAUUUGGGUACGUUGGGGCCAUGCAAAAGACACAGGAGGGGCAUGUAGCCCCUAUUGGCAUAAAAGGGGCUAGGUAGCUACCGAUGACUACUACUGACUCUGAGGAAGAAAGUGACUAACUGGAGAAAGAUGUUGGGCAUGCAGGUGCCAUGGCGGCCAAUUGGAUGGAAAUAUAUAAUCACCACAGUGAUUGGGGGGGAGGGGUGGGGGCUCGAUCGAUCGGCUGGUUGGUCAGAUCGUUCAGAUGUGGCAAACUGUGUUUGCUUGUAUUGGUGGCCCUCUCGCUUGCAAAUGCUACCUAGCCAGGGUGCCCACAUUUGUGGUGGUAUCUGGUAUGCAUGUCUGCUCCUGCCCUACUCCAAGAAUUGACCAUUCAGAGCUCUACUUUACAUGCUAACAGUUCAUGCCUUAGGUUUCGCUUUCCAUCUUCCCCUGGACCCGGCCGGCCCCUGUGCCAUUGAGUUUAUCAUUGUGUUUCUGAAAUAUCAAUUUUUUUGUAACACUGACUAAUUCUGUAGCAUUUGCAUGAAGAGAAAAAUGGAACCAAUUACUCACCAAUAUCUAGCUAUCACCGGAGUUAUUGCAGACGUCUUUGAAAAUUUCUUCUGUAAUUCAAGAAUCGCAGAGCUCCAGGUACAAGCUCUACCUGACGUACGUGCUGCUUCAAGUGUCGAAUAAUAAUCGCCCG